Molecule: long non-coding RNA, 220 nt
Organism: Apis dorsata (giant honeybee)
Lineage: Eukaryota; Metazoa; Arthropoda; Insecta; Hymenoptera; Apidae
Exons: 2
Source: RefSeq, a predicted model, not a curated record
CGAUUGUCGUCUCUCUAGUCGAUGUAUUCAUGGAAAUUUUACUUUAACAAGUAUUAAUGAAUAAUUCGAAAAAUAAUGAAAAAGUUUAAAUAUUUUUGAAUCAAAAUAAAGCACAAUAUGAUCGAUUGAAAGUCAUAUAAAUCUUUGAAGUUUCUGGUUAGGCACAUCAAAAUGGAUUACGCUACUGAGCAUUUACCAAUGGAAACAUACAAUCGAAUCA